GCAACUUGUCCCUUGUCAGUACUGGCAACCACUCACUGAGUGGUUGCCGGUACUGAUGAGGGACGGGUUGUGGUGUCCGAGAGCGUUGUGCCGAAGUGGACUGUCUUUGCUUUGCUUGGAUGGGCUUUGAUUGUAUAUUAUAUUGAUAAAGCAAAGUGUACUUAGUUAGUUGAUCAGAUCCCUAUACCAAGACUAAUGAUACAAGAAUUGCCUAAAUAUGAGGUAAUACCAGAAACAUUAGGAAAUUCUGGGCUAGUAAGAACUCUCUUAAAUGAACAGAGAAAGAAACUGGCAAAUAAGAGAUACCCUACAGUUUUUGAUUUAUUGAGAAAUAAUAAGGACUCUAGAAAGGAAGAAAAUAAAAGUGAUGUCUAUCAAAUUCCUUUAGUCAACCUGGAUACCAGAAACCAAGAAAUCUACAUAGGAGCAAUGUGUAGAAACUUAUCAGGUGCGCAACUAAGUUUCCGGG
Molecule: long non-coding RNA, 469 nt
Filed under: Androctonus crassicauda
Lineage: Eukaryota; Metazoa; Arthropoda; Arachnida; Scorpiones; Buthidae
Source: RNAcentral